This 295-nucleotide small nuclear RNA is filed under the name Jaculus jaculus (lesser Egyptian jerboa). RNAcentral's name for it is "7SK RNA (ENSJJAG00000004317.1)". The stretch from base 1 to 263 matches the Rfam family "7SK RNA". From Rfam's summary of the family: 7SK was discovered as an abundant small nuclear RNA in the mid-70s but a possible function has only recently been suggested. The record is from RNAcentral. Lineage: Eukaryota; Metazoa; Chordata; Mammalia; Rodentia; Dipodidae.
GAAUAUGAGGGUAAUAUGAUUGUGACAUCUCUCACCACAUCAGCUGCUAUGGCUGGCUAAGUGUGUGUCCCCUCCCUCCCUCACAUCACCAUGUGCAUCCCCCCAAAGCCGCACUCACAAUCAACUUCCCCAAAAUAGAGAAGGACCAUUCUCCAGUCACAGAUACAUAAUAAGCUGGGCUCACACUCUUGACCCUCCAAAAAAGCUCUUAACUGUCAAUCUCACAAACCAAAUAAGGCAUGUGUGGUGGUGCAUGCCAUUCAGGAAGCCUGCUGGAAGUUCAAGGCCAUCCCCU